This is a long non-coding RNA of Pan troglodytes (chimpanzee), 2400 nucleotides long. RefSeq lists it as uncharacterized. Lineage: Eukaryota; Metazoa; Chordata; Mammalia; Primates; Hominidae. The record is from RefSeq and is a predicted model, not a curated record. The transcript is spliced from 3 exons.
AGGCAGCCUGAGUUCAUGUUCCUAUGCAGGAAUCCCUUCCUGACAUUUCUCAAGGACCUUAUCCGCUUUUUCAAAUCUCCAAUCCUGGAAAUAAUCAGUGGAGAAACUGAGGAGAUGUGUGGCAGUUCUCAAGUGUGAAUGAAACCUUAACUAUCCACAGAGAUGUGUCUAGAUCAGAAGAAUCCACAGACAUCACGGGAAUACACAAGCACAGGGAACACAGAGAAGGGCAUCCAGCAUCAAAGUUAACAUUUGGGGUCACUGGGACAGGAGCACGUAGAAGUAGAACCCGUAUGAUUUCAUGGGUCAGUCUUGCUUGCAGUUGUGGCCGUACUAUGACGUCUGCUGGUGGCUCUGUCUGCUGCCAAAAGUGAGUCAUUGUUGCUGAUAAAAGAAAAGCUAAUACACUUACAGUCACAGUAUACUUUAUACACAUUCCAGGAAGGAUGUAUCAAAAAUGACACACCUUGGAAGCAAUAUUUUCCUCUGGCUGAAACCAACCAGAAGCACAAAACCAGGAACCCGAGAGAUGCAGCUCGUAGAGGAGAGAAAACAAGAGUGGACUGGGAGGACCAUUGGGUGGAUGAGGAAUCAAUAGAGAAACAAACAGUUCCAUCUGCCGUUUAUGGGUAAAAGAGAGCAGAUGAAGAAGACAUGGUUACCUAUGGCUUGGUGAUUUGGCCACUUCCCUUUUCUGGGACAAACUCAGAUUGUCAAUUUUGUGAACAAAGAACAGUUUUUAUUCUACAUGCAUCAUGAGAGCCACAUGGAGGGACAGCUCCAUUUGCCCCUGGAAGAAUCUGGCAGACACUGGGAAGUCAGCGGUAAGAAAGAAGUGAAGAUAUUUGGGUUGGUCAAUGUCAAGCCAUAGCAUCCUGGGAGACAGCUUCACCAGGAGUGGGAGAACUAGAGACUCAACUUCCAUCUGUUCUCUCUCCUCAGCCAUGGUCACUGGAUUAUAAUAAUAAUGACAACAGUGAUAAAAUUGGUGGUAACAGCAGAGAAGGGAGGUCACUACCAGGAUAUACAGCCAUGGAGUUCAUCAAGGAAAACAGACUGACUGCCUGCCAUCUUGGAUUGUAAUGACACUUAUGGAUGGCUCAGAGCUAAGUGAUGACAAACUGGAGAUGAGAGGCAGAGACACGGACAGAAAGUCAAUCCUCUUAUGGUGGAAUCAGUUCUUUUGUAGACCCCGCUGUCCUUGGCUCCUGCAACAGCUAAAAAGGUGAUUUCUGAAAAGAAACCUCUUACUGUUUUGAAAUGCAAAUGCAAGUCUUCUUAAGCUUGACUUACACAUGAACUCAAGGGCCAUUUGGUUUUGCAUGUUGUUAAAAAUAUUGUUCACUUGCCUGUAAAGUAUCAUUGUGUCUUGGAUGCCUUAGCUUAACCAUCUGACAGCUCCUUUAUCCCCCAACUGGAAGAAAAAUAGGAGACUUCUUAAAGCUAGUUACAGCCCCUUAUGGGAUGUUCUCACAAGGAAAAGUCUGAAUAAGAAACCCCUGCCUUGACUUCCUCUCUGACAUUAUUGAUCCUGUUGGCUUUGGUUCCCACAUCUGUCACCUGAGCCACACCCUCUACACCAUUAACAUGGAAAUGGAACUUUGAUACCGAGAGGAGUGCCUUACACCAAGACCUCUAAAUCUGAAGUCUAAUCUUUUCCAGAAUUCCAUAGUGUAGUCUCAAUAGCAAUGCUUGAACCUGUCAUUCAGUUAAGUGCAUAGUAUUCAGUGCACUCUGCUUAGCACUCGGUAGGAAACAAAGUUCAAUGAGACACAAAAGCUAACCUCAAAGAAUUAAAUUCUGGGCAGAAGGAUAAUCAAACUAGACAGAGAUUUAUAAUACAUGGUGUAAGCCAAGUGGUGCCAUAACAUGAACAUUGCUGUAGUUGCUGCCUGGUACCCAUUUUAGAAGAUAACUCCAACUGGUCUUUGGAAAACCAUCCUUCUCUUACUCUCAGUUCAUCUGGUUAAGGGAUAACUGCCACUAAACAAGUUUUAAGGCAGAUGUGAGAGCAAGGUGACACCAAACAGAACAUCACACACAGACUCAUACACAGACACAGGAACACGCAGAUGCACACACAGUAGUAGCAGUGAUUAGUUCAAGAGGCAAAGAGUCAAUGUAGGACCCAAGCCAAGUCAAGGAGAGACAAUGAGAAUCAAUUCUAAAACUGUUAGGGAGCAAACAAAGAAGAGACAUCUUCAGUCCUUGGAUCCAAGAUCACUGAAGGUGGAGCCUGGAGCUGCCGGGGCCUGCCCACAGCAGUCAGCGUUCGUGCACAGGUGAAGUUGGAGAGAAGACAGCACAUCCUCAAUACAACCAGAACCUUUGGGUCCAGCCACUGCUAGAGUUUUUCAUCACAUGUCAAUAAAUCCCUGUAUAAAUUACUUUUUUGACUUC